Molecule: small RNA, 259 nt
Filed under: Sinorhizobium meliloti 2011
Lineage: Bacteria; Pseudomonadati; Pseudomonadota; Alphaproteobacteria; Hyphomicrobiales; Rhizobiaceae
Description: putative ncRNA
Rfam family: Rhizobiales sRNA Atu_C7 (bases 119-256)
Source: RNAcentral
AUGCAACGAGCGGAGGAACCGAAGUUCAACUGCUCGAUGAAGUUGACAUUGGAUUGCGGAUCGAUACCGAGAUCUCGCGUUUUAGUGGCAACCGGCGUGAGUUUGGCUUCGUCGUCUUCGGCUAAUGCAGCAUUAUCCGGGCGAUGAGGCAGCACAGGUUCUCCUGGCGUGUCCUGGUGCGGCAGAUGUUCCCUCCCUCAUCUGCAUGCGAUGCGCCCUCCUAGCCUCGCUUGUCGAUUGACCGGCGAGGCUUUUUUUU